RNAcentral lists this ribosomal RNA (253 nucleotides) under uncultured bacterium. Its description in RNAcentral is "partial 16S ribosomal RNA". It matches the Rfam family "Bacterial small subunit ribosomal RNA", at positions 524 to 776 of the family's 1533-position model. The record is from RNAcentral.
UACAGAGGGGGCAAGCGUUGUUCGGAAUUACUGGGCGUAAAGGGCGCGUAGGCGGCCUUCUAAGUCGAACGUGAAAUCCCCGGGCUCAACCCGGGAACUGCGUCCGAUACUGGUUGGCUUGAAUCCGGGAGAGGGAUGUGGAAUUCCAGGUGUAGCGGUGAAAUGCGUAGAUAUCUGGAGGAACACCGGUGGCGAAGGCGACAUCCUGGACCGGUAUUGACGCUGAGGCGCGAAAGCCAGGGGAGCAAACGGG